Molecule: non-coding RNA, 1954 nt
Organism: Electrophorus electricus (electric eel)
Lineage: Eukaryota; Metazoa; Chordata; Actinopteri; Gymnotiformes; Gymnotidae
Source: RefSeq, a predicted model, not a curated record
GAGGGGUAGCAGCUGUUUGUGCCCCCGUCUCUCGCGCUUGUCCUCGUUCUGUAGUUUGCCUGUUCUCUUUCAAUGGCCACAUUAGCUCAAGGCAAUGUGUCAGCUACCUAAUGCGAUCCACCUUCGCUGUGCUCUGUGAGGGACCGUGUGAGCAGCGGCAGAGAGGGAGUGCCCUUCUGAAGCGUGAAAAUAGUUGUGUUGUGAAUGAGGCUUAUCUGCUGGAUCGCAGGGCCGUUCAUUCAUUUAGUCGCUUCACUAAUUGUGCACAGUUAACGGGAGUGGGAUUUCCAUCCUGGGAUCGCUUAUGAUGUGGACGUUGCCAUUCGAUAUUGUAACCCAAAGCUGAUGCAACAGUUUCAGUUUUGCACUGGCCAGUGUUGACACCAGAUAAAUGGGUACACACUUGCAGAACUUUUUAAUUGACCUGGGUUGAAGCCCAGAUCGCGAGAAAUGACAGACCAGCAACAAAGCAUACUUGUUAGGGCUGUGGGUGCUUUCGGUGAGCGAAGACUGGAGGAAGCAGGCUGGGAGCUCCGCAUGGUCUCCUCUUCCAUAGGUGCCAUAACUCAGAGCUGCAAACCCUAAUGAUGAGAACUGGCGGGUCAACUCGGAGACACCUACCUCUUAUGUCAUGAUGUUACUGGGCCUCAACUCAACUCAGCUGCCGUGGCUCCUCCCACCACCCCCUGAUGCCCCCUUCUGUAGCCCACCACACCUUCACCCCAUGGAAACUUACCUCCAGACCUUUUCAGAUUUCGGACAUGCACACACCUCUGGCAGAAAUGAUGGGUGGUUCCAAAAUGUUUGGUCGCAUGACGAUAAAAGUGCACGGUUUCCAAGAUACAGGAGGAGGGUCAACUUACCCACUGGCUCAUCUUACCCCACUCUCCCCUGGAGAUGAAAUACAGAAGCUUGUGGGUUCGUGUUGGUGGCAGUGCUGGCUGGAACUACAGGAGGACGUUUAGAUAUUAAUGGGUUAAAAAGUAAUCCAAAAAAUAAAAGACAGUAAUCAGAUUACAUUAUUUUAAUGUAGUAAGCAUUUAGAUUAAGUUACAGGUCAUUUUUAAUAGCUUAUCAGUAAUAUGUAAUGGAAUGCAUUUUCAAAAUAACACUCCCAACCAUGAUCAUUUGCCUAAACCUCUGUUUUUGUCUGUUUUUGUCCGUGAUGUGUUUUAAACAUUAAAACCUGAGGUUUUACAUUCAUUCUUUGCUCACUUAUUUGUUCAUUUUGUUCAUUCUAACCAUAAACAGACACCUUGGGAUGUGUGUGGACAGGAUUCACCCUUUCACAGUGUCUAAUGAAUAACACUUCCCCGGUGCACCUUCCAAAACGCACAGAGUCACUGUGUCCUCCUUCACGAGCUCACAGAGAGCAGAUCUUGUCAGAUCCAGCCCUUCUAACCUUCCACCCUUCAGCACGGCUAAGGCACUUCUCUCCACUGGGUCUCAGGCAUGUCUCAGCCAUAUUGUCAGACUGCACAUUACCACAGCGCAGCACAGUGGGUAGCUGAUACGGUGGCACGAUAUUUCGAAUUCAGAGCAGCGUGUGGGAUGGCGGGGAGUCGUGGGAUGGAAGAAGGCUCACCAGGGCUGCGAGAGCAAAUGUGCUCCUAUAGAAACUAGGUCAACAGCGGCCAUUUCUAAUGAAUUGUUUCUGAACCGCAGCUGCAGAGGUGAAUGUUGUCUAACCCCUGUGUGAGUUUGACGGACACUUUGCCACUGCGUCCUGCCGGGAUGUCAGCAUUGUGUAACUUUAGAAACAUUAGCACAUCAGGUUGCUCAAUUUUAAACACACCUGACAUUCCAAUCAGGUGCAAAAAAUAAAUAAAUACUGCUACUACAUGGAAUGUUUGGGCCAUGAACAUUCAUAUUACAGAUACCUUUUCAUAAAUGUCAUAUAUAUAUUUGCUUCUAUCCAAUAUAGAACACCUGAUAUUUAUCACCCAAAAAAUCU